AAAGAGAAAAAGAAAAAUAAGAAUAAUGUUAUUAUUUUAAUUCUUUUUUUCUCUCUCUCUCCCUCUUCUCUCUUUCCUCUCUCUCUUCUCUCUCCUCUCCCUUCCCCAUCGUGCGAACAGCCUUUCCCCCACCGAAUUCUCUCUCUCUUCCCUUUUGACCGGUCAAGCCCUAUCUCUUCUCUCUCUCUCUCUCUCUUCUCUCUUCUCCCCCACGUGACCGAAAGCCCCCUUCUUCUUGUUUCUUGCUCGUGAGAACCAGAAGCGAAGCAGAAGCCGAACGGAAGACGGCAGAAACGGAGCAGCUCGCCGAACCGCCGUCUGCUCCACCACCCGCCGUUCAUGCGUGCGCCGCCCCACCGAGCUGCUGUCCGUCCCUCCUCUCACGCCAGUCCAACGCCGUCCAACUUCCAUCUGCUUCUGUUCCACCUCGUCCAGUCACCGUGAGUGGCCGAGCAAGCCACCGGAGCCGCCGUGCAGCCUUGCCGGACCACCGUCUACCUUCCCGACCCUUCUCCGCCCCUAACCAUCUCUUUUUUCCCCUGUUUCGUAGCCGAACCAGCAACCCACGAAAUGGGUUUCCAGCCGGUUCGUGGGCCGUUUUGGGCCAUUUCCGAGCCCCGAACCCGAGCGGUGCUUUGGAGUUUGUCGUUCCUUGCGUCGCCCUCGUCGGAUUGAUCCGAUUUGCGCGCGAUUUGGUGAGUAAUCUCACUAAUCCUGGAUUAGUUGGCUAAUUAUGCUUAAGGUUGGUUUAGUUUUAAUUAAUUAUGUUUAUGUUGUUAG
Molecule: long non-coding RNA, 780 nt
Filed under: Eucalyptus grandis
Lineage: Eukaryota; Viridiplantae; Streptophyta; Magnoliopsida; Myrtales; Myrtaceae
Description: long non-coding RNA (EGRA_LNC004992)
Source: RNAcentral